Molecule: transfer RNA, 82 nt
Filed under: Rhipicephalus microplus (southern cattle tick)
Lineage: Eukaryota; Metazoa; Arthropoda; Arachnida; Ixodida; Ixodidae
Description: tRNA-Ser
Rfam family: tRNA
About the family: Transfer RNA (tRNA) molecules are approximately 80 nucleotides in length.
Source: Rfam by way of RNAcentral
GCAGUCGUGGCCGAGUGGUUAAGGCGAUGGACUCGAAAUCCAUUGGGGUUUCCCCGCACGGGUUCGAAUCCUGUCGGCUGCG